RNAcentral lists this ribosomal RNA (163 nucleotides) under uncultured bacterium. RNAcentral describes it as "partial 16S rRNA". It matches the Rfam family "Bacterial small subunit ribosomal RNA", at positions 355 to 510 of the family's 1533-position model. The record is from RNAcentral.
UAGGGAAUCUUCCACAAUGGACGCAAGUCUGAUGGAGCAACGCCGCGUGAGUGAAGAAGGUCUUCGGAUCGUAAAACUCUGUUGUUAGAGAAGAACACGAGUGAGAGUAACUGUUCAUUCGAUGACGGUAUCUAACCAGCAAGUCACGGCUAACUACGUACAG